AAAGGCAGCAAGGAAUUUGCUUCCUCAGUCCCCUGGGUAAGAUCAGAUGGCAAGAGUGUGGGGUAAAAGGGGCAGGACCAGGUUAUCCAUCCAGAGAAACGAGUGAUCAAAAACUCAACUCCAUUAGAGCCAAGUGAGAAAUUGGGGAUGAAGCUGGCAUCCAUCACAAUGAGAGGUUGAAGCAGAUGUUGCCCUUUCUCCAAUUGGAUAAUAAGAAUUUGCAGCAACCUGACUCAUGAAAGGGGGAAAAACCUAGCCAGAGAGGUCUGCCCAAAUUGCUGGAGACUGUUAAGUGUCUUGGAUCAAGUCACAUUCUCAGAAAGAGAAGCUGAAGAUUUUCUAGACCCCCUUCUCAUUAAAAGUUCAUCAAUCAGGAUCAAGCUUCACUUGAAAUCUUAUCAGAAGAAACACAUGAGAUUAAAGGUACUUACUUCAGAGUCUCCUCUGGAGCCUUGGGUUAUGGGGAGAAAUCACUGAUAACCAGUUUGUUGAUUACUGGCUAGCCUAAUUAAUAAAUUGAUUAUCAAU
Sarcophilus harrisii (Tasmanian devil) is the source of this 528-nucleotide long non-coding RNA. RefSeq lists it as uncharacterized. Lineage: Eukaryota; Metazoa; Chordata; Mammalia; Dasyuromorphia; Dasyuridae. The transcript is spliced from 3 exons. The record is from RefSeq and is a predicted model, not a curated record.